GGGCGAGUGGCGAAACGGUAAACGCAGCGGGCUUAAAACCCGCCGCCCACGCGGGCCUGUGGGUUCGACUCCCACCUCGCUCA
This 83-nucleotide transfer RNA is filed under the name Streptomyces sp. NBRC 110611. It matches the Rfam family "tRNA". From Rfam's summary of the family: Transfer RNA (tRNA) molecules are approximately 80 nucleotides in length. Their secondary structure includes four short double-helical elements and three loops (D, anti-codon, and T loops). The record is from Rfam by way of RNAcentral. Lineage: Bacteria; Bacillati; Actinomycetota; Actinomycetes; Kitasatosporales; Streptomycetaceae.